Molecule: small nuclear RNA, 107 nt
Organism: Procavia capensis (Cape rock hyrax)
Lineage: Eukaryota; Metazoa; Chordata; Mammalia; Hyracoidea; Procaviidae
Source: Ensembl
GUGCUCGCUUCGGCAGCACAUAUACUAAAAUCACAACGAUACAGAGAAGAUUAGCAUGGCCCCUGCUCAAGGAUGAUACGCAAAUUCGUGAAGCGUUCCAUAUUUUU